UAGGGAAUCUUCGGCAAUGGACGAAAGCCUGACCGAGCAACGCCGCGUGAGUGAAGAAGGUUUUCGGAUCGUAAAACUCUGUUGUUAGAGAAGAACAAGGACGUUAGUAACUGAACGUCCCCUGACGGUAUCUAACCAGAAAGCCACGGCUAACUACGUGCCAGCAGCCGCGGUAAUACGUAGGUGGCAAGCGUUGUCCGGAUUUAUUGGGCGUAAAGCGAGCGCAGGCGGUUUCUUAAGUCUGAUGUGAAAGCCCCCGGCUCAACCGGGGAGGGUCAUUGGAAACUGGGAGGCUUGAGUGCAGAAGAGGAGGGUGGAAUUCCAUGUGUAGCGGUGAAAUGCGUAGAUAUAGGGAGGAACACCAGUGGCGAAGGCGGCUCUCUGGUCUGUAACUGACGCUGAGGCUCGAAAGCGUGGGGAGCAAACAGG
RNAcentral lists this ribosomal RNA (429 nucleotides) under Gemmatimonadota bacterium. RNAcentral describes it as "Gemmatimonadetes bacterium partial 16S ribosomal RNA". It matches the Rfam family "Bacterial small subunit ribosomal RNA", at positions 355 to 776 of the family's 1533-position model. Lineage: Bacteria; Pseudomonadati; Gemmatimonadota. The record is from RNAcentral.